RNAcentral lists this long non-coding RNA (223 nucleotides) under Brassica rapa (field mustard). Its description in RNAcentral is "long non-coding RNA (BRAP_LNC000078)". The record is from RNAcentral. Lineage: Eukaryota; Viridiplantae; Streptophyta; Magnoliopsida; Brassicales; Brassicaceae.
AUUAUUAAUACAUAUAACUACUGGCAAUAACCAAGUAUGAAAAGGACAUAGCGACCUACAAGACAAACCAAAAUAAUUGGUGUCAGUUGCUAAUUACGCUUAUCCAUUGAGAUCAGCUGGUUUAUGAAAACGACAUUCAAGCAAUUAUUUUAGUAGAAUAACAUAUGAAGUUAUCUGGUUAGGCACAAUAUGUUCGGUAACAAAUGUAUAUGGACAGUUUAUC